This 291-nucleotide long non-coding RNA is filed under the name Nicotiana benthamiana. RNAcentral describes it as "long non-coding RNA (NBEN_LNC009658)". The record is from RNAcentral. Lineage: Eukaryota; Viridiplantae; Streptophyta; Magnoliopsida; Solanales; Solanaceae.
AAACUGAAACGUAUCGAGUCAUAGUGUGAUUUCGUUCCCGAAUUUGAGUUCGUCGAAGUCGUAGGCGUUUGAGGUACCGCCACUCCUACGACAGGUAUCCGUUAUAUCCUGGGAGGAAAUAAUCCACAACCUCGGGUACAGUGAGGGGGUUAAAUUCCUUAAGGACACACAGUGAAUUCUGUGGUCCCGGAUUUCUUCAUUUCUGUGAUUUUUUUUUAUUUAUUUUUUUGUGUCUCUUCUUCUUACUGGUUUCCAGUUUCUCGUUGCUUUGAACACGGACAAUCGAUAACA